Long non-coding RNA from Helianthus annuus (common sunflower), 618 nucleotides. RefSeq lists it as uncharacterized. The transcript is spliced from 4 exons. The record is from RefSeq and is a predicted model, not a curated record. NCBI's taxonomy places the organism in Eukaryota, Viridiplantae, Streptophyta, Magnoliopsida, Asterales, Asteraceae.
UUGAUUUUGGGAGGGAAUCCAUCUCAAUUCUCAAUACACAAACCAAAAUCAACUCUGGACGCGGGAUCCGACUACAUUUGGGUCACCCAUGUUUUCAAAUGGAUCAUAUAUAUUCCUUUUUAACGCUUUCUUCUCUCCCGUAACUUCAUUUUUCAGAAACCCUAAAUACCAAACAUUCUUCUCCUUCACGCUACAGGAUCCCAAUGUUCAUCCUUCUCCUUCUUCAACUUCUUUGAUCCAUCUGGUGGUUGAUUCUAUCAACAAACCCUAAUCGCCAAAUAUUGUCGUAUCAAUUCGGCACUUGGUUCUUUAAGGUGCUCCUUGAUCCAACUUCUUCUCAAGUGCCAGUGCCUCAUAAUGUCGUAUUAAUUAUCAGUUCUUCAAAGGGUAUUUUGAGAUUUAUUUACGUACAUAUAAUGAGGGGCAUCUAUGCAUUCGGAAGGUACUGUCGAGAGUUUUAACUUUCUGUCAAAUUAUCAAAGCUCUUUGAAAAUCACCAAGUUGUAUGUGCACAUGGUAGUUGAAACUGGCCUUUUCAAUUGUCUCUGACUUGUUAAGGUUAAUAGAGUCAUGGCCGUAAUGGAAUGUGCAAGGGUGAAGCUACAUAGGAGCCAGGGG